AAGCUCGUAGUUGAAUUUCGGGAUCGAUGGAUCGGUCAUGCCAUCGGUAUGUACUGGUCCCAUCGGUUCUCACCUUCUAAGGAACCAUGAUGUCAUUCAUUUGAUGUUUUGGGGAAUUAGGACUGUUACCUUGAAAAAAUUAGAGUGUUUAAAGCAGGCCAACGCUUGAAUACAUUAGCAUGGAAUAAUGAAAUAGGACAUCGCAUUCUAUUUUGUUGGUUUCUAGGAUCGAUGUAAUGAUUAAUAGGGAUAGUUGGG
Molecule: ribosomal RNA, 258 nt
Filed under: uncultured Glomus
Lineage: Eukaryota; Fungi; Glomeromycota; Glomeromycetes; Glomerales; Glomeraceae
Description: partial 18S ribosomal RNA
Rfam family: Eukaryotic small subunit ribosomal RNA
Source: RNAcentral